CCUCAGUGUCAGUAUCAGUCCAGGUGGUCGCCUUCGCCACUGGUGUUCCUUCCUAUAUCUACGCAUUUCACCGCUACACAGGAAAUUCCACCACCCUCUACCAUACUCUAGCUUGUCAGUUUUGAAUGCAGUUCCCAGGUUGAGCCCGGGGAUUUCACAUCCAACUUAACAAACCACCUACGCGCGCUUUACGCCCAGUAAUUCCGAUUAACGCUUGCACCCUCUGUAUUACCGCGGCUGCUGGCACAGAGUUAGCCGGUGCUUAUUCUGUCGGUAACGUCAAAACAGCAAAGUAUUAAUUUACUGCCCUUCCUCCCAACUUAAAGUGCUUUACAAUCCGAAGACCUUCUUCACACACGCGGCAUGGCUGGAUCAGGCUUUCGCCCAUUGUCCAAUAUUCCCCACUGCUGCCUCCCGUAGGAGUCUGGACCGUGUCUCAGUUCCAGUGUGACUGAUCAUCCUCUCAGACCAGUUACGGAUCGUCGCCUUGGUGAGCCAUUACCUCACCAACUAGCUAAUCCGACCUAGGCUCAUCUGAUAGCGCAAGGCCCGAAGGUCCCCUGCUUUCUCCCGUAGGACGUAUGCGGUAUUAGCGUCCCUUUCGAGACGUUGUCCCCCACUACCAGGCAGAUUCCUAGGCAUUACUCACCCGUCCGCCGCUGAAUCAGAGAGCAAGCUCUCAUCAUCCGCUCGACUUGCAUGUGUUAGGCCUGCCGCCAGCGUUCAAU
Molecule: ribosomal RNA, 728 nt
Filed under: Pseudomonas umsongensis
Lineage: Bacteria; Pseudomonadati; Pseudomonadota; Gammaproteobacteria; Pseudomonadales; Pseudomonadaceae
Description: partial 16S rRNA
Source: RNAcentral